CCCAAGGCCACUUUAUAACAUGUUCCCCUGGGGGGUAGGCCUACAGCGAGGACAAGGGUAAGAUAUGGUCCUGACCAACAGUUGGCAACAGUCCUUCAGUGGUCAACGGGUGAUCUCGGCUUGUGUUGACAGGUUGCUUCUGGGUUAACGCAGUGGAGGCUGUUGCUCCUGGACUCUUGCUGCUGGGACACGUCUCAUGUUGAGAGCCGGGCUCCUGUCUCAUCAGUGGAUUCUUUACCAACUAAGCUACCAGGGAAGCCCUGAAUGAUUUCAAAAGGUGGCGAGCUGCGGUUCAUGGGGUUGCAAAGAGUCGGACACGACUGAGCGACUGAACUGAACUGAAGAAUCCCAUGGACAGAGGUGCCUCGGUGGGCUAUAACCCAUGGAGUUGCAAAGAGUUGAACACAACUGAGCAACUAGCAAAAAAAAGAAACACCUUCAAGGGAAAACAGUGUGGAAAUGUUAGAAAUACGAUCACCUGGGAAAUCAGCACUAACUCCAGGAGGCUCCUGUUCAGAUGUGAGCGUGCCUGCCUCCCACACUGAACACUCUACUGGUCAUUCUCACCUGGACAGCAAUUCAUUUCUCAGGUAACUAGCUGCCACAUUGAAAAAGGAGAAAAGUGUCUUGGGGCAGGGUUUUCUGGACAGUGACAGCUGAAGAGAAGAAAUCGAGGUCCGGUGUACUCUGUGGAGCAGUGAGAUCAGGGAGUUACCCAGAAAAUGCAGUGGAGUGGAAUCCGGCCCGAGAGCGGCAACUCUUGAGCCCGCAUUCCUAGAGCGCGUGCUCCACACCAAGAGAAGCCACUGAAGUGAGAAGCCCUCACACCACCGCGAGAGAGCAGGCCCUGCUUGUCACAGCUACAGACAGACUGCACGCAGCUAGACCCAGCACAGCCAACAAUAAACAAACAACAAAUUAAUUUUUUAAAGAGUCCUUACUGAAGCAGUAAAAUAUCUAUAU
This is a long non-coding RNA of Bos taurus (domestic cattle), 963 nucleotides long. NCBI's taxonomy places the organism in Eukaryota, Metazoa, Chordata, Mammalia, Artiodactyla, Bovidae. The record is from Ensembl.